ACUCCUACGGGAGGCAGCAGUGGGGAAUCUUGGACAAUGGGGGCAACCCUGAUCCAGCCAUGCCGCGUGAGUGAUGAAGGCCUUAGGGUCGUAAAGCUCUUUCGCCUGUGAAGAUAAUGACGGUAGCAGGUAAAGAAACCCCGGCUAACUCCGUGCCAGCAGCCGCGGGUAAUACGGGAGGGGGUUAGCGUUGUUCGGAAUUACUGGGCGUAAAGCGCACGUAGGCGGAUCGGAAAGUUGGGGUGAAAUCCCGGGGCUCAACCCCGGAACGGCCUCCAAAACUAUCGGUCUAGAGUUCGAGAGAGGUGAGUGGAAUUCCGAGUGUAGAGGUGAAAUUCGUAGAUAUUCGGAGGAACACCAGUGGCGAAGGCGGCUCACUGGCUCGAUACUGACGCUGAGGUGCGAAAGUGUGGGAGCAAACAGGAUUAGAUACCCUGGUAGGACAGUG
RNAcentral lists this ribosomal RNA (448 nucleotides) under uncultured bacterium. RNAcentral describes it as "bacterial SSU rRNA". It matches the Rfam family "Bacterial small subunit ribosomal RNA", at positions 335 to 804 of the family's 1533-position model. The record is from RNAcentral.